This 1458-nucleotide unclassified non-coding RNA is filed under the name Zea mays. RNAcentral describes it as "misc RNA Zm00001eb133340". The record is from RNAcentral. Lineage: Eukaryota; Viridiplantae; Streptophyta; Magnoliopsida; Poales; Poaceae.
GCCUUAUCUUCUGCGCGCUCCAACCAUCGUGAUUCUCAGCCGCCGUCUUCCAUCUCCGAAUCUCUCUGCAUGCUCGAUGGUGCUCCCAUGGUGCGCGCCUCCUCUGCGCGUCCAUCCCCUCUUCUCCCUUCUCCUCAAGCUCACUCCAUCCCUGACGCACGCUCCUUCUCCUUUUCCCCAGCCGAGGCCCCUGCGCGACCGAGCUCCCCCAGCUCCCUCCACAUGGCCGAGCGCCCUCCCGGCCUCUAGCCUUCUUCCCUGCGCACGGCCCGCCCCAGCUCGGACUUCCCCUCUGCCCAGUCGCUCAGCUCCGAUCGUCCAUGGAGCGCCCCCAUGGCCGUGGCCGCGAUGGUCGGGGGCCGGCCGUCGUGUGCCCCUGCAGCGUGCCCUCGUCGUCUUCCCAGCGUCACGCACGCGAGCUCAGCGUCCAUCUCCAGCUCGUCGAAUCCCCUUGCUUCUCCCUCCUUCUGCCUGUUUUCAAAUAUGUUAUGCGCGUGUCAGCUCCGUUGCUGUUGUUGCGGUGUGGGGUACUAUUGGUAGAUCAAGGCCGCCGAGUCCGACCCGCUACUCUGCGUGCAGUGGCGCCCCUCUGCUCGGCUAUGGCCCCCGCGUACCAUACCGUCCGAAUCCCCGCUCCUGCUCCGGCUUAUCUGCGCCACCGCCGCAUCACUUCUCUCCUUGGCGCUCGCCCUUGGUGCUGGCCACGUGCUACUCGUCCGGCUCGGCCACGACCUCGCCGUCGUUCCUCAGCUCGCUACGCGCCCUGCUUCACUGUGUCGAUCUGCCCAUCUCCCUGAGUCCGUGCACGUGUGCAGCUUCCUCAAGUCGCCGUGUGCCCAGCUCGCUCCAGCUCGCCGAUCAAGCUUCUCCCUCGCGCUCGGAUCCGGUCAUUAACGCCCAGCCAUGUGUUCUUUUUCCCCCAGCUCGUGGGUGUCGUCGUUCCGUGUGCUUGGCCCUCAGAGUUCGCCAGCCAUCAUGACAUCCCCGUCUAUCGCGCAUUCGCGCCAUGCUUCGGUUGUUGAUCUACGCAGUUCCUGUUCGACAAUCGGUUCCGUCUCCGUCGAACUCCUAUUCGCCAUCCCGCCGAGCUCCUUCAACACUGCCCCAACCCGUAGUCGUUGUUCCGUCGCCUUGCUUCGACGCCUGUCCCUAUGUGAUGCCUCUGAAUUGUGAUCGCGCGGACAAAAGCAUCCCCAAGAGAAGAUGUCCAAAGAUUGGAUGGUGAUGUGCGUGAAGUUCGUAUAGUACCUACCAAGCGCUCGACAAAAUUGCCUGGAUCGGAAAAUCAUUACCAAUCUCGUGGAUUCGAGUCAAAUAUUGGAAUAGUGAGCUAAUUUGCUAUUUUAUUGACUGGUUUGAUGGAUGAAUUGAUAGGUGUGUACGUUGCGAUGAUUAUCCCGCUUGUAGCUCAGGCACGUAUUUAUUUGAUGCUUGUAGAAAUACGGGGCUACAGGUAGC